RNAcentral lists this ribosomal RNA (501 nucleotides) under uncultured bacterium. RNAcentral describes it as "partial 16S ribosomal RNA". It matches the Rfam family "Bacterial small subunit ribosomal RNA", at positions 30 to 523 of the family's 1533-position model. The record is from RNAcentral.
AUUGAACGCUGGCGGCAGGCUUAACACAUGCAAGUCGAGCGGGGGAAGGUAGCUUGCUACUGGACCUAGCGGCGGACGGGUGAGUAAUGCUUAGGAAUCUGCCUAUUAGUGGGGGACAACAUCUCGAAAGGGAUGCUAAUACCGCAUACGUCCUACGGGAGAAAGCAGGGGAUCUUCGGACCUUGCGCUAAUAGAUGAGCCUAAGUCGGAUUAGCUAGUUGGUGGGGUAAAGGCCUACCAAGGCGACGAUCUGUAGCGGGUCUGAGAGGACGAUCCGCCACACUGGGACUGAGACACGGCCCAGACUCCUACGGGAGGCAGCAGUGGGGAAUAUUGGACAAUGGGGGGAACCCUGAUCCAGCCAUGCCGCGUGUGUGAAGAAGGCCUUAUGGUUGUAAAGCACUUUAAGCGAGGAGGAGGCUACUUUAGUUAAUACCUAGAGAUAGUGGACGUUACUCGCAGAAUAAGCACUGGCUAACUCUGUGCCAGCAGCCGCAGUAA